CGUUCCCGGGCCUUGUACACACCGCCCGUCACACCAUGGGAGUUGGUUUUACCCGAAGACGGUGCGCUAACCGUAAGGAGGCAGCCGGCCACGGUAGGGUCAGCGACUGGGGUG
This 114-nucleotide ribosomal RNA is filed under the name uncultured bacterium. RNAcentral's name for it is "partial 16S ribosomal RNA". It matches the Rfam family "Bacterial small subunit ribosomal RNA", at positions 1369 to 1482 of the family's 1533-position model. The record is from RNAcentral.